UACGGAGGGUGCAAGCGUUAUUCGGAUUUACUGGGCUUAAAGGGUGCGUAGGCGGGCAUGUAAGUCUGUGGUGAAAUCUCUAAGCUUAACCUGGAAACUGCCAUGGAUACUAUAUGUCUUGAAUGUUGUGGAGGUUAGCGGAAUAUGUCAUGUAGCGGUGAAAUGCAUAGAUAUGACAUAGAACACCAAUUGCGAAGGCAGCUGGCUGCACAAAUAUUGACGCUGAGGCACGAAAGCGUGGGGAGCAAACAGG
RNAcentral lists this ribosomal RNA (253 nucleotides) under uncultured bacterium. RNAcentral describes it as "partial 16S ribosomal RNA". It matches the Rfam family "Bacterial small subunit ribosomal RNA", at positions 524 to 776 of the family's 1533-position model. The record is from RNAcentral.